CUACAAAAUUAAUAUUAAAAAGGGCCUAUUCCAAACACUAGCUUUUCCCCUCCCAUGUAUUUACAUUUUUUUAGUACAUGUAUAUAUUACAUAUUAGAUGAAAUAGCCCUUUUAGUGUUUAUUUGGACCACUAUAAAUUAAUGUAUUCUGACUCUUUGUUGCCACCUACAAUAUUAAAGUGCAAUGAAAAAAUAUGCGUCCAGUAUAGCUGCUGAAAGCUAAACCCAAAAGUAAAAGUUUACAAUAGUUGAUCAUGCAUUAUAAUUGAGGUCAAGGCAACCCAAUUUUUGUCUGAACCUUGCUUUCCUAAUUAAUUACCAUCUAACACCCCUUUCUUUCCCCCCAAUAAAACAAACAAAACAAAAACAGGAAUCUAAAACAACAUGAUCUGAGUGAAAAUAUUCAUAACAGGUAACAUAUAUAUUUGAUUUAUUCUAUAAUACAAUAAAUAUGUUAAAUCUUUUUUCAUUAUUUUUUUUCUGAUGAAGAAAAUGAUGAGUGCAGGUAAACUGUUUAUACUAUCAAACUCUAUCUGAUGAAAUAUUUGCAGCUGGGCAUUUUGCAAUAAAAAAUCAAUCAAUCAAAAACUAUCACUGGCUUUGCUGACUGAUCUCUUUUGAAAACCACAUUAUAAAUAAAUCAUUUUUUGCUACAUGAAGAUCUUAUUCCAGCAGAUAUUGAUCCCUGAGAUAAACUGCCAAUAGCACUGUGGGAAAAUUGACAUUGUAAAGAUAAUAAUAAUAAAUCUAAAAUAUUGCUAUAAUUUCUAGUCAUCAAUCAUUAAAAAAAUUGAAUUCUGUUUUAAGAUAAAAUAUCAAAUUUUGCAAGUUCCAUAUUGUUUUCUCUAUUCAAUCUUGUGUUCUCAUUUAACAAACAUACCUCCAUUUAAUGAAAUAUGACAAU
This 903-nucleotide long non-coding RNA is filed under the name Mytilus galloprovincialis (Mediterranean mussel). Lineage: Eukaryota; Metazoa; Mollusca; Bivalvia; Mytilida; Mytilidae. The record is from RNAcentral.